This 1384-nucleotide long non-coding RNA is filed under the name Vulpes vulpes (red fox). Its description in RNAcentral is "lncRNA (ENSVVUG00000029672.1)". The record is from RNAcentral. Lineage: Eukaryota; Metazoa; Chordata; Mammalia; Carnivora; Canidae.
AUGUUCAAAGACCAACAAAAAGUCAUUGUUUUUUAUUUAACUGUCCAGCUAGAACUCCAAGGUGGUGCUAGUCGCAGAUGCCAAUCCUUCCUCAAUGAGGUGAGGCUCUUAGCCACGUGUAUUUACAAAAAGUGCUUUGGUCUUGGUCCUAUCCAGGUGCUUCUGUUGCCUCUGCGUGUGCAUGUGUGCAGGAUUGCGUACACGUUCUGUUCUUCUGGGUUUUAUGCCAAAGAACUCGUUUCACCUCAACUGGAUGCCUUGCCCUGUCCAUUUGGAUGUGCUGUCAGUCUUGCCAUCUGCAAUCAUCAGCAUUCUUCAGCCAUGAGAUAUACAGAAAUGGUCACCGUAUUACCGCAGUGUGGAUGGCAAGUUCUUUCUGUCUAAUUUCUUGUGGUUGGAGCUCAUUUGACACCAGCUCAUUUCUCCUGCCAGCACAGCCAAGGUGUUCCGUGGGUUGCACCGUGAAUGCAAGUUUACACUGUGCUGGGGGAGUGAGGCUCCGGGCAGGAGGGCUGGCCCGCAGAGCGUGGACAGACCUUGCUUCGUGCCACAAAACACAACAGCUAAACCAAACAGGGGCUUUUGGUGGAUGAUAAAACCUCAAUGCAGUCAAACUAAUGUGUUCUUCUAACUGCAGUGGCAAAUAUUUUCUUCCUCUUGGCUGCCAGCUCCUUUCAAAGAGGAUUCCCAAAGGCUUUUUGUCUUUGGUUUAGGUUUUGUGGGGGGGGCAAAUUAAUUCAUGAUUUGUUGUUAUUAAAAAAGAAGAAGAAAAAACAAGGCAAAACAAAACAAAACAAAACCCCUCUUUCUCCAACCUUCCUUAAAAUACCCACAGGAGCCCACCCAAUGGAAUGGCCUGAAACAAAACACUUUUGUUCAAAGCCAGUAAGGCUGGCGACCUGCAAGGUCUGCCCAUAGCUACCUGUAUCGUGGGUAGCUGCAGAGAAUUAUGCAAACUGGCAAACUGGGUACAUUUCACUGUUUUUACAACAAUAUGUUUUAUUGUUCUCUCGCUAAGUUCUUUGCCGAGGGCAAGGAGCACUGAAGUAGCUGGCGGUGGCCCAGACACAGCUGUCAGCGGGAGCCUUACCACUUCUGGCAUCACUUUUUUAGCCAAGAGGCACUGCGAUUGCUUACCAACAAGUCACGAGGAGUUGAUAAUGCAGGUGGACUAACUCAUAAAUAUUUUAGCACUUGAGCAUCUUUUUCCAUCCAUAGCGACCUAAUAUUACAACGGAUCCUCUCCUAUGAUGGGCAAUUAGAGAGAGGUGGGAACAACUCUUAGAAAAUCCAGGAAAAUAGAGCUACUCUCACUAAGCACACUGAAUGGCUCAUCGACAGGGGCUGGAACAGAACACUACUGAAAAUUAAGCUUUGUUUAAAC